GACGAACGCUGGCGGCGUGCCUAAUACAUGCAAGUUGAGCGCUGAAGGUUGGUACUUGUACCAACUGGAUGAGCAGCGAACGGGUGAGUAACGCGUGGGGAAUCUGCCUUUGAGCGGGGGACAACAUUUGGAAACGAAUGCUAAUACCGCAUAAAAACUUUAAACACAAGUUUUAAGUUUGAAAGAUGCAAUUGCAUCACUCAAAGAUGAUCCCGCGUUGUAUUAGCUAGUUGGUGAGGUAAAGGCUCACCAAGGCGAUGAUACAUAGCCGACCUGAGAGGGUGAUCGGCCACAUUGGGACUGAGACGCGGCCCAA
RNAcentral lists this ribosomal RNA (316 nucleotides) under uncultured Lactococcus sp. RNAcentral's name for it is "bacterial SSU rRNA". It matches the Rfam family "Bacterial small subunit ribosomal RNA", at positions 28 to 334 of the family's 1533-position model. Lineage: Bacteria; Bacillati; Bacillota; Bacilli; Lactobacillales; Streptococcaceae. The record is from RNAcentral.